Molecule: ribosomal RNA, 490 nt
Filed under: uncultured bacterium
Lineage: Bacteria
Description: partial 16S ribosomal RNA
Rfam family: Bacterial small subunit ribosomal RNA
Source: RNAcentral
AUUGAACGCUGGCGGCAGGCCUAACACAUGCAAGUCGAACGGUAACAGGAAGCAGCUUGCUGCUUUGCUGACGAGUGGCGGACGGGUGAGUAAUGUCUGGGAAACUCCCCGAUGGAGGGGGAUAACUACUGGAAACGGUAGCUAAUACCGCAUAACGUCGCAAGACCAAAGAGGGGGACCUUAGGGCCUCUUGCCAUCGGAUUUGCCCAGAUGGGAUUAGCUAGUAGGUGGGGUAACGGCUCACCUAGGCGACGAUCCCUAGCUGGUCUGAGAGGAUGACCAGCCACACUGGAACUGAGACACGGUCCAGACUCCUACGGGAGGCAGCAGUGGGGAAUCUUGCACAAUGGGCGAAAGCCUGAUGGAGCAAUGCCGCGUGUAUGAAGAAGGCCUUCGGGUUGUAAAGUACUUUCAGCGGGGAAGAAGGGAGUAAAGUUAAUACCUUUGCUCAUUGACGUUACCCGCAGAAGAAGCACCGGCUAACUCCGUG